CCUAAUACAUGCAAGUCGAGCGAACGGACGAGAGUGCUUGCACUCUCUGAUGUUAGCGGCGGACGGGUGAGUAACACGUGGGUAACCUACCUAUAAGACUGGGAUAACUUCGGGAAACCGGAGCUAAUACCGGAUAAUAUUUAGCUUCGCAUGAAGCAAUAGUGAAAGACGGUUCUGCUGUCACUUAUAGAUGGACCUGCGGUGUAUUAGCUAGUUGGUGAGGUAACGGCUCACCAAGGCGACGAUACAUAGCCGACCUGAGAGGGUGAUCGGCCACACUGGGACUGAGACACGGCCCAGACUCCUACGGGAGGCAGCAGUAGGGAAUCUUCCGCAAUGGACGAAAGUCUGACGGAGCAACGCCGCGUGAGUGAAGAAGGUUUUCGGAUCGUAAAACUCUGUUGUAAGGGAAGAACAAGUACGUUAGUAACUGAACGUACCUUGACGGUACCUUACCAGAAAGCCACGGCUAACUACGUGCCAGCAGCCGCGGUAAUACGUAGGUGGCAAGCGUUAUCCGGAAUUAUUGGGCGUAAAGCGCGCGUAGGCGGUCUCUUAAGUCUGAUGUGAAAGCCCCCGGCUCAACCGGGGAGGGUCAUUGGAAACUGGGAGACUUGAGUACAGAAGAGGAGAGUGGAAUUCCAUGUGUAGCGGGUGAAAUGCGCAGAGAUAUGGGAGGAACACCAGUGGCGAACGCGGCUCUCUGGUCU
RNAcentral lists this ribosomal RNA (710 nucleotides) under bacterium SRCpp.01. RNAcentral's name for it is "bacterial SSU rRNA". It matches the Rfam family "Bacterial small subunit ribosomal RNA", at positions 47 to 735 of the family's 1533-position model. The record is from RNAcentral.